GGUUCGAUGGUGUAGUUGGUUAUCACGUCUGUCUCACAUAGGGUCCGAACCCAUUGAUGGCCACAGGAGGUCUCCGGUUCGAGCCCGGGUCGAACCA
Molecule: non-coding RNA, 97 nt
Organism: Peniophora sp. CONT
Lineage: Eukaryota; Fungi; Basidiomycota; Agaricomycetes; Russulales; Peniophoraceae
Source: the annotation of a GenBank genome assembly